UACGGAAGGCAGCAGUGGGGAAUAUUGCACAAUGGGCGAAAGCCUGAUGCAGCUAUGCCGCGUGUAUGAAGAAGGCCUUAGGGUUGUAAAGUACUUUCAUCGGGGAGGAAAAAACAAAACUAAUAAUUUUAUUUCUUGACGUUACCCGAAAAAGAAGCACCGGCUAACUCCGUGCCAGCAGCCGCGGUAAUACGGAGGGUGCUAGCGUUAAUCAGAAUUACUGGGCGUAAAGAGCACGUAGGUGGUUUUUUUAAGUCAGAUGUGAAAUCCCUGGGCUUAACCUGGAACUGCAUUUUGAAACUGAAAUACUAGAGUAUCGUAGAGGGAGGUAGAAUUCUAGGUGUAGCGGUGAAAUGCGUAGAUAUCUGGAGGAAUACCUGUGGCGAAAGCGGCCUCCUAAACGAAUACUGACACUGAGGUGCGAAAGCGUGGGGAGCAAACGAGGAUUAGAUACCCGU
RNAcentral lists this ribosomal RNA (458 nucleotides) under uncultured bacterium. RNAcentral describes it as "bacterial SSU rRNA". It matches the Rfam family "Bacterial small subunit ribosomal RNA", at positions 340 to 790 of the family's 1533-position model. The record is from RNAcentral.